Molecule: small nuclear RNA, 96 nt
Filed under: Angiostrongylus costaricensis
Lineage: Eukaryota; Metazoa; Nematoda; Chromadorea; Rhabditida; Metastrongylidae
Source: RNAcentral
GUUUAUUCCUGAACAUAUACUGAAAUUGAUACAGUACAGAGAAGAUUAGCACGGGUCCUGCUCAAUAUUCCUAUUACAGUUGUAGUUCCAAUAAUA